RNAcentral lists this unclassified non-coding RNA (1268 nucleotides) under Dendronephthya gigantea. RNAcentral's name for it is "isoaspartyl peptidase/L-asparaginase-like, transcript variant X1". Lineage: Eukaryota; Metazoa; Cnidaria; Anthozoa; Malacalcyonacea; Nephtheidae. The record is from RNAcentral.
CGUUAAUUCGGCAUUUAAAAAGAGACCGUGAGAAGUUGUGAGUGCGAGUCCAUCCUCGAGCAUUACCUUUAAAACGUUCAUAAAAGUAAAGCAAACUUAUGGCAGAAAAUCUCGGAACAGCGGCCGAAAGAGAAAGGGAUCAAGAGAGGGAAGUUAAACCACGAAUUUUAGUCCAAGCUGGCGCUUUUAGCCUUGUGCUGGGUGAUAUAGAAGAGGAUUACAGGAGAGCACCAAAAUCAGCUGCCAAAGAAGGAUAUUACAUUUUGAGGAACGGUGGCACAGCGGUUGAUGCUGUAGAAACAGCAGUUCGUGUGUUUGAGGACAAUGGAUACUGUAAUGCUGGUUUUGGAUCGUAUUUGAACAAUGAUAAUGAAGUGGAAUGCGAUGCACUUAUAAUGGACGGCGAUACAUUAAAAAGUGGCGCAGUAAUGGCCGGACGCCAUUUCCGUAAUCCUGUUUCCCUCGCCAAAAAGAUCAUGAAAGACUGUCACCAUAGUGCCUUAUCUGGUGAAGGAGCUCUAGAAUUUGCUCGCAAAUGUUCUUUCCCAUGUUAUGAUCAAGAUGAGUUGAUAAACCGAUAUAGUCGUGACAAAACACAAGGAGUGAAUUACGAAAAUAUGCCAAAAUUUAUAGAACUUCACUAUCCGGGAAUUCCGCAGAUGGCGAUGGACACUGUAACUGCUGUUGCCAUGGAUGCCGAUGGUAAAAUGGCGUGUGCGGUGUCAACAGGUGGUAUAGCGGGAAAAUUGAAAGGUCGUGUCGGAGACGUGCCGAUGGUUGGUUGCGGGGGUUACGCGAACAAAAGCGGUGCAGCAACCACCACUGGACAUGGCGAGUCCAUAAUAAAAAUGACUCUGGCAAGAGACGUCGUUUCCAUGAUGGAAGCAGGAGCCAAUGCCCAGACGUCUGCAGAAAAUGCUGUAAGGAAAUUGCUGGAGACUAAUGGUAACUUUGGUGCAGGUGGUGCAAUCGCAAUUGAUAGAGAUGGAAACUUUGGGAAGGCGUGCCGUACCGAGAAGAUGCCAUGGGCAAGCAUCGUGGCCGUCCGAGUUAGGCCAGGCGAAGAAACUGAAAUCAUACAACACCGAAUGGAAUCCGGCAUGAAUCCUGCUGACGAACCUGAAGUUGAAUAUUGGUAAAAUAACUAUGUCUGAGAGCACAAACAUUUUCAUAUAUAAUCUGUUACAACGUAGUUUUUUUCGAGGUUUCAUGACCUCAGGUAAUUAUUAAGUAAUAUUAACGCCAAUAAGGCGGCGGUACAAGGUGGA